This 1265-nucleotide ribosomal RNA is filed under the name uncultured Peptostreptococcaceae bacterium. Its description in RNAcentral is "bacterial SSU rRNA". It matches the Rfam family "Bacterial small subunit ribosomal RNA", at positions 97 to 1381 of the family's 1533-position model. The record is from RNAcentral. Lineage: Bacteria; Bacillati; Bacillota; Clostridia; Peptostreptococcales; Peptostreptococcaceae.
GGCGGACGGGUGAGUAACGCGUGAACAAUCUGCCCUGUACAAAGGAAUAGCCUCGGGAAACCGGGAUUAAAACCGUAUGACACUUUUUUGCCGCAUGGUAGUAAAGUCAAAUAUUUCAUAGGUAUGGGAUGAGUUCGCGUCUGGUUAGCUGGUUGGUAAGGUAACGGCUUACCAAGGCGACGAUCAGUAGCCGGCCUGAGAGGGUGGACGGCCACACUGGCACUGAGACACGGUCCAGACUCCUACGGGAGGCAGCAGUGGGGAAUAUUGCACAAUGGAGGGAACUCUGAUGCAGCGACGCCGCGUGAGUGAAGAAGGUCUUCGGAUCGUAAAACUCUGUCCUUGGUGAAGAAAAGGACGGUAGCCAAGGAGGAAGCCCCGGCUAACUACGUGCCAGCAGCCGCGGUAAUACGUAGGGGGCGAGCGUUGUCCGGAUUUACUGGGCGUAAAGGGUGAGUAGGCGGUUAUAUAUGUCAGGUGUAAAAGGCUAUGGCUUAAUCAUGGUUAGCACUUGAAACUGUAUGACUUGAGUGCAGGAGAGGUAAGCGGAAUUCCUAGUGUAGCGGUGAAAUGCGUAGAUAUUAGGAGGAACACCAGUGGCGAAGGCGGCUUACUGGACUGUAACUGACGCUGAGUCACGAAAGCGUGGGUAGCAAACAGGAUUAGAUACCCUGGUAGUCCACGCUGUAAACGAUGAGUGCUAGGUGUUGGGUAGCGAUACUCAGUGCCGGAGUCAACACAAUAAGCACUCCGCCUGGGGAGUACGUACGCAAGUAUGAAACUCAAAGGAAUUGACGGGGACCCGCACAAGCAGCGGAGCAUGUGGUUUAAUUCGAAGCAACGCGAAGAACCUUACCAAGGAUUGACAUCCCCUUGACAGGUACAGAGAUGUACAAUCAUUUUCGAAUGCAAGGGAGACAGGUGGUGCAUGGUUGUCGUCAGCUCGUGUCGUGAGAUGUUGGGUUAAGUCCCGCAACGAGCGCAACCCUUAUCCUUAGUUGCCAUCAAGUAGAGUUGGGCACUCUAAGGAGACUGCCGGUGAUAAACCGGAGGAAGGUGGGGAUGACGUCAAAUCAUCAUGCCCCUUAUGUCUUGGGCUACACACGUGCUACAAUGGUCGGUACAACGGGAAGCGAAGAAGUGAUUUGGAGCAAAUCCCAAUAAACCGAUCCCAGUUCGGAUUGCAGGCUGCAACUCGCCUGCAUGAAGUCGGAGUUGCUAGUAAUCGCGAAUCAGAACGUCGCGGUGAAUGCGUUCCCGGGUCU